This 105-nucleotide microRNA precursor is filed under the name Medicago truncatula (barrel medic). Its description in RNAcentral is "MIR1507 microRNA precursor family". It matches the Rfam family "MIR1507 microRNA precursor family". The record is from Rfam by way of RNAcentral. Lineage: Eukaryota; Viridiplantae; Streptophyta; Magnoliopsida; Fabales; Fabaceae.
CAAUGUUGCUUAGAGUUGUAUGGAAUGAAAGAUGUGAAUUUAUUUUUGGAUUCUAUUCAUUCAAUUUUCUCUCUUUCGUUCCAUACAUCAUCUAACCAACAAACU